Molecule: ribosomal RNA, 455 nt
Filed under: Atopobium sp. oral taxon 416
Lineage: Bacteria; Bacillati; Actinomycetota; Coriobacteriia; Coriobacteriales; Atopobiaceae
Description: bacterial SSU rRNA
Rfam family: Bacterial small subunit ribosomal RNA
Source: RNAcentral
GAUGAACGCUGGCGGCGCGCCUAACACAUGCAAGUCGAACGGUUAAAGCACUUUCGGGUGUGUAUAGAGUGGCGAACGGCUGAGUAACACGUGGGCAACCUGCCCUUUGCAUCGGGACAGCCUCGGGAAACCGUGGUUAAUACCGGAUACUCCAUCUUUCUCACAUGAAAAAGAUGGGAAAGUGUUUAGCGGCAAGGGAUGGGCCCGCGCCCUGUUAGCUUGUUGGUGGGGUAAAAGCCUACCAAGGCAAUGAUGGGUAGCCGGGUUGAGAGACCGACCGGCCAGAUUGGGACUGAGACACGGCCCAGACUCCUACGGGAGGCAGCAGUGGGGAAUCUUGCACAAUGGGCGAAAGCCUGAUGCAGCGACGCCGCGUGCGGGAUGGAGGCCUUCGGGUUGUAAACCGCUUUCAGCAGGGACGAGGCGAAAGUGACGGACCUGCAGAAGAAGCCCCG